UCGAGAAUCUUCCGCAAUGGGCGAAAGCCUGACGGAGCGACGCCGCGUGCGGGAUGAAGGCCUUCGGGUUGUAAACCGCUGUCAGUGGGGAGGAAAUGCACGGGGGUUCUCCCUCGUGCUUGACCGAUCCGCAGAGGAAGCACAGGCUAAGUUCGUGCCAGCAGCCGCGGUAACACGAACUGUGCAAACGUUAUUCGGAAUCACUGGGCUUAAAGAGUUCGUAGGCGGCAUGCCAAGUCGGGUGUGAAAU
Molecule: ribosomal RNA, 250 nt
Filed under: uncultured bacterium
Lineage: Bacteria
Description: partial 16S ribosomal RNA
Rfam family: Bacterial small subunit ribosomal RNA
Source: RNAcentral